AAUGUAAUUUAAAUAUUUCAUUUAUAUUGUAAGAAAUUUCCUCUCUCUAUAAAUCUCACUACCCUCUCUCUCACUGCUCUGUCUCUCUCUAAACUAGGGUAUUAGCAUUCCGGUAGUGCGGCGAUGGCGGAUUUUUGGUGGUGACGGCAACAGUGAGUUGGUAGUAUUGGGCCCUUUUUGUUGGUGGUGAAGGCACUGCGACAGUUGAAGAUGAAGGACACCUGAGAUAUCUGAGUUGCGCUCUGUUUUUGUAGUUUUUUACUUUGUCUUAUUCAAUGUAACUCACAUAGGAAUUUGCUUUCCUUGCCCAAGUACUAUUUCUAUUAGGAGUGCAUUGCCUCCGCUUUGUUCAUUUCUUAUGCUUCCAGAAAUGAAUACCGGAGGGUAGACACGUCUAUUAAAAGAAAAAUGUAUCUUCAAUGAGUGUAUUAUGAUUUACAUUUCAGAAAGUGAAAAUUUAUUGAGUUGAGUUGUAGUAA
This is a long non-coding RNA of Capsicum annuum, 479 nucleotides long. RefSeq lists it as uncharacterized. The transcript has 2 exons. The record is from RefSeq and is a predicted model, not a curated record. Lineage: Eukaryota; Viridiplantae; Streptophyta; Magnoliopsida; Solanales; Solanaceae.